CAGGCCUCAAGCCGACGCCUCCAUUCGUAUUUCAUUUUGGCUGGAAAUGUGUUUAACAAUGGCCUACAACAAUUUAUGUAGGUCGAAGAAGGUGGAAAGAAAAGUAUAAUACCCGACAU
Olea europaea var. sylvestris is the source of this 119-nucleotide long non-coding RNA. RefSeq lists it as uncharacterized. The record is from RefSeq and is a predicted model, not a curated record. Lineage: Eukaryota; Viridiplantae; Streptophyta; Magnoliopsida; Lamiales; Oleaceae. The transcript has 2 exons.